AGAGAGAGAGAACCUUCUCUCUCAGCCGCCUCAUGAUCUCCAACCCCAGCAACAUCUCCAACCUCACGACCCCUCUCCUCUCCUCCCAACUCCCUUUAUCCCCCUAACUUGUUCCUGCAAUACCAUCAACACCACCAUAACCCAAUUGUAGAACAGAGCCAAUUUUCUCAUCAGUUAUGUUUUCCAGCCCUCUGAUAACCUCAUUGCUUCAAUGUUUGGCUCAACAACACAGUCAAUAAUUGAUGUCAAUGGUAAUCAUCAGAUUCAACCCUUUGAAACUAUCUUUGUACCUGUUUCAAAACUUCCUAAUUUGACACAACCUAGUCGUGUUUUUGUUAAUUCAACCCCUGGGGAGAAUGGGAAAAAGGGAGUUGUGGUUGGAUUGGGAAUUGGGUUGGGGGUUUGUGGGAUUUUGCUGGUUUUGGUUUGUGGGUUGUUUGGUUACAGAGAAAAUACAUGGAAGAAGAGGAAAUGGGUGGUAAAGAAAGGUGGAGAGGGAGAGAAAAUGGUUAGAGGAGGAAAGGCUUUGGAUGUGAAAUUUGUGGCUGAUAUGUCAGAUUGUUUGGAUAAGUGUAAAGUGUUUGGGAUUGAAGAACUGAGGCAAGCAACUGAUGGGUUUGAUGAGAGGUAGGUGAUUCAAGAGUCUGUGCAUAAAGGUUGUAUUGAUGGAGUGAUUUAUGCUAUUAAGAAGAUAAAGUGCAAUGCUUGUGAAGAACUUAAGAUCUUGCAGAAGCUCGAAAAGAAGCCCUCCGAAAGUGAUAAAGGUACUUUUUGUAUUGUUUGCCCAAUUGCACAACAUUCGAUUGACACCAAGCGCGUUUAGAAAUAAAGAAAGAAAUAAGGGAGAGAGAGAGAGGAACUAGUCGAAGAAGAAGAACUGAGAGCGACCAGCGCUGACCAUCGACCUGGGUGACCACCGACGACCAGCAAAAUACUAAAUGUGGUGUUCGUUGUCCAUGAAUCUCUAUCGAGAGAGAGGAACUAAUCGACAUCAAUCUCGACUACUCACUAUACUCACUGAAUCUCGCCGUCCGUCAAUCUCUGCAAAAUACUCACUGUACUCACUAAAUCUGCUUGUGCUUUGUUCAAAGUGAGUUUUUAUUUAUUUUUUCUUAUAAAUUUUUAUUUUCUUGUGAAGUUUGAAUCGUCGAGAUUAAAGGUACCCGUGAUGACAGAUUGAGUUUUUUAUAGCUUGAAUCAUUGAGUUUUUAUUUUCCUAUUUUCUUGUUUAGACUGAGAUUAAAGGUACCUGUGAUUACAAUUUUUUCUCUUCAUAAAAGUCUUCUCACUUUGCGGGCAACAACAAAAUUUUUUUAUUUAUUUAUCUUGUCACUGAAUGUGCUUGUGCUUUGUUCAAAUUGAGUUUUUAUUUAUUUUUUCUUAUAAAUUUUUAUUUUCUUGUUAAGCUUGAAUCAGGGGAUUUUUCAGUUUGUAUACUGCUUGAGUAUAGCAUUAUCACUACUCUGUUUUUUAUACUGUUAAGCUUGAGUAUAGCAUUACCACUACUCUUCUUUUUAUUUCAUAAAGACUAAGAGCUAAGAGUUAAGCUUGAGUAUAGCAUUACCACUACUCUGUUUUUGGUCAUUAAAUUUGAUUAAACAUAUAUCAAUUUUGUGUGUUUAUGGUUGGCGCAUUCAUUGAAAAAGACAAUUAGAAGCAUGAAUUUUGGCAGGGGAUUAAAAGAAUGGUUCUCUAUAUUUUGUGUUCUUGGUGUUCACCUAUAUUUGUUGUAUAGUUUGUCUCACUUAUGAAUGCAGACCAUAUUAAGGAAGGCUUGUCACUGCAUUAUUCCAUAGUCCUUUUAUUUUUAUUUUUAACAUUGUAUUUUUUAUCUUGAAUGGAAUUUCCAAAUUUUUCAUUAGUUAGUUGCAUGUUUUCUAGACUUCUAUGUAUAGCACUUUGCAAUAAUCAAAGUAAAAUUGCUCCAAAUAACAAAGUUGUAGUUAUUAGCUAAAUGGGACUGAAUAGCUAUGCAACAAUGUUCUUCUAUAUGUGAUGUAUAUAUGUGUUUUGGGAUGUGUCUAUAGCUGAAUCUGUGUGAUGAAUACAAACUAUGAUUUGAAUCUGUCUAUAGCUGAAUCUGUCUAUGGCUGAAUAUGUUUUGGGAUGUGUGAUGUAUACAGAGUUGCAGCUGCCUUCUGUAGCUGAAUCUGUGAUGUGUCUAAAUCUGUAAUGGUUGUAUGUGUGAUGUACUCACUGAAUCUAUGAUGUCUCUAAAUCUGAGUGGUGUUUAAAAUCUUAUUUUUGAUUUGUUAUGCAUUUUAAAAUCCACUUUCAUUCUGCUGAUUUUUAUGAUAUUUGCAUGACCUUUAUACAAAUUAUAGUAGACUAUUUCACACUUUGCAUUUCAGUUUGAAGGUAUAAUGGACAUUGAUUCAAACAAUCCUACAUUGAGUGGGGGUGAGGAAGUUGAGGAACCGGAGAACAAUCCUUCAUUAAAUGAGAGCGGUGAAAUUGAAGAACCUAAGAAGGGGAUGCGUUUUACCUCAAAGCAAAAAGUGCACGAGUUUUAUGCAAAAUAUGCAAAAAAAUGUUGGAUUUGCUAUAGCCUACAAAACACAGAAUGUUGGAGCUGAUGGAAAGGUGAAAUACUUUGGAAUUGAAUGUACUCGGGCGUAGAAGAUGACAAAAAGAUCAGAAGUAAAUCCCCUGAAACCAUCUUUGACAUCAAAAAUUGAUUGUAAAGCAAAGAUAAGAACGACUUUACAAAAGGAUGGAAUAUAUAAGUUCACCACAGUUGUGCUUGAGCAUACGCAUGACUUGAUUCCUAGUGACUCACGGCAUUUUUUAAUGAAUAAGAGGAUUCUUACUCCUGUGAAGAGAAGAUUAGAAAUAAACGAUGAAGUAGGAAUAGGGGUGUCUAGGAAUUUUCAUUCUAUAGUUGUUGAAGCGGGGGGAUAUGAGGCAUUAACAUUUGAUGAACGAGAUACAAGAAACCACAUUGAGAAUGCUAGAAGAUUGAGGCUUGGAGUAGGAGAUGUCGAAUCAGUUGCAUUUUAUUUUCAUAGGAUGCAACAAGAAAAUUCAAACUUCUAUUCUACAAUUGACUUUGAUGUAGAUGGUCGCAUACGGAACUUGUUUUGGGCGGAUGCAAGGAGUAGGGCAACUUAUAAAGCAUUUGGGGAUGUUGUCUCAUUUGACACCACCUAUCUCACAAACAAAUAUGAUAUGCCGUUUGGCCCGUUUGUAGGAGUUAAUCACCACGGACAGUCAAUCUUAUUUGGUUGUGGGCUAUUAUGUAAUGAAAACACGAAGACAUUUGUUUGGCUAUUCAAAGAAUGGUUAAAUUUCAUGUCAACCACUCCUCCAAAAGCUAUUAUAACUGACCAGUGUAGAGCCAUGCAAAAUGCCAUAGAAAUUGACUUCCCACAGGCUCGACAUCAUUAGUGUUUAUGGCAUAUAAUGAAGAAAAUUCUCGAGAAAUUGAGAGGAUAUGCCCUAUAUGAAGCCAUAAAAUUCGCUUUGCAAAAUGCAAUGUAUGAUUCAUUCACAAAAAAUGAAUUUGAUGAGGAAUGACAAACGAUGAUUGCAAAGUUUAGCUUGUAUGACAAUGAGUGGUUGAGGGUAUUAUAGACAUAAGUGGAUUCUUGUCUAUGUGCAAGAUAUUUUUUGGGCAGGCAUAUCAGUUACACAACGAAGUGAGAGCAUGAAUAUAUUUUUUGAUGGAUAUGUAAACUCAAAGACUACAAUGCAUUGAGAAGUAAGGUAGAGAAUGAGACCAAAGUAGACUUCAAAUCCUGAAACAAAUUGUAUGAUUGCUUAACAGUGUAUGAGUUUGAGAAGCAUUUUCGUGCAUCCUACACUAAUGCAAAAUUUAAAGAAGUUCAAGUAGAAUUGAAGCGCCUAUUGUACUGUCAUGCAACUCUUGUGAAAGAGGAGAGAUUAAUUUGUACUUAUCAUGUGAAUGAGGCUAUUUUAGUGGGUGAGAAAAUGAAGAAGGUUGAAUUUGUUGUCUACUUUAAUUCAACUAAAUGUGAAAUGCAAUAUAUGUGUCGGUGGCUUGAGUUUAGGGGGAUCGUGUGUGCCUAUUCAUUUAGUGUGCUCAUUGAGAGGUGCAUAUAUGAGGUUCCAUAUAAGUAGAUUAUGCCGAAAUGGAGAAAAGAUUUGGAAAGAGGGUACACAUGCAUUCCAACCACAUACAUGAAAUUCGGGGUUGCUCUAAAUGCAAAGGUAUAUGAUAACUACCAUAAGAUAUUGGAUGAAAUUAUAGAAAUUGCUUCCAACGAUGAUAGUAAACACAAAGCCAUUCAACUUGGGUUGAGAGAAAUCAAGAAUAGAGUUAGAAAAGAUGAAUCAGGUUGUGCAAGUAAUGUCCCACCGUCUAGUAGUACUAUCCCACCUUCUAAUACAUCCUUGAAAAGUCUGCCUGGUCGUAGUAAUACAAGCAUGACUCACAAGGUGCUUAGCCCUUUGUUUGCUCGCCGAAGAGGCCAUCCAUGUAUGAAACGGAAGGUUAGCAAGGUGGACGAAAUAGUGAAUCGGUUGAAGGGAAAGACUAAAUUAAAAAGCUACAAAAGUCUAGGGUCGUAAGGUGGGUAAAGGUGAACCUCGUAAGUUAAAUUUUGGUUGUACGAAUAGCAUGGAAGACAAUACGUACGAACCGGCAUCGCAAGCUCAACCGUGCUAUUUUCUUUCUACAGAUGACAUACAAGUGAGUAUGUAUGCACCGGUGCCGCAAGCUCAACCGUACUAUUUUCCUUGUAUGGAUGGGACACAAGAGAGUGUGCAUGUACCGGUAGCGCAAUGCAAAUGGUGGACAAAAUUGGAAACGCAUCUCUGAGUCAAUUAGGAAUGGCGAACAAUAUAAGUAGUCAAAGUUUGACAAUUGCUUCAAAAUUUGUGGACUUGAAUAUAGAUGCGGAUCCAACCAACCCAUUUUUUUUUAUAGUUUCGUACUUGUAAUUUUUUGACUUUGGUUUGUAAACUUGGGAUAGUUUGCUUGUAAAUUUGGGAUUGAAGAGAAUGAAAGCAUUUAUAUUUGUGGUGAUCUUUAUGUUUGCAGAAAUGUUGUUUUAUGAA
This is a long non-coding RNA of Camellia sinensis, 5019 nucleotides long. RefSeq lists it as uncharacterized. NCBI's taxonomy places the organism in Eukaryota, Viridiplantae, Streptophyta, Magnoliopsida, Ericales, Theaceae. The record is from RefSeq and is a predicted model, not a curated record.